UACGGGGGGAGCAAGCGUUGUUCGGAUUUACUGGGCGUAAAGGGCGCGUAGGCGGUCAGCACAAGUCAGUUGUGAAAUCUCCGGGCUUAACUCGGAAAGGUCAACUGAUACUGUGCGACUAGAGUGCGGAAGGGGCAACUGGAAUUCUCGGUGUAGCGGUGAAAUGCGUAGAUAUCGAGAGGAACACCAGUGGCGAAGGCGGCGACCUGGUCCGAUACUGACGCUGAGGCGCGAAAGCGUGGGGAGCAAACAGG
RNAcentral lists this ribosomal RNA (254 nucleotides) under uncultured bacterium. RNAcentral's name for it is "partial 16S ribosomal RNA". It matches the Rfam family "Bacterial small subunit ribosomal RNA", at positions 524 to 776 of the family's 1533-position model. The record is from RNAcentral.